This 492-nucleotide ribosomal RNA is filed under the name uncultured bacterium. Its description in RNAcentral is "partial 16S ribosomal RNA". It matches the Rfam family "Bacterial small subunit ribosomal RNA", at positions 29 to 507 of the family's 1533-position model. The record is from RNAcentral.
AGUGAACGCUGGCGGUAGGCCUAACACGUGCAAGUCGAACGGCAGCACAGUAAGAGCUUGCUCUUACGGGUGGCGAGUGGCGGACGGGUGAGGAAUACAUCGGAAUCUACUUUUUCGUGGGGGAUAACGUAGGGAAACUUACGCUAAUACCGCAUACGACCUACGUGUGAAAGCAGGGGAUCUUCGGACCUUGCGCGAUUGAAUGAGCCGAUGUCGGAUUAGCUAGUUGGCGGGGUAAAGGCCCACCAAGGCGACGAUCCGUAGCUGGUCUGAGAGGAUGGUCAGCCACACUGGAACUGAGACACGGUCCAGACUCCUACGGGGGGCAGCAGUGGGGAAUAUGGGACAAUGGGCGCAAGCAUGAUCCAGCCAUACCGCGUGGGUGAAGAAGGCCUUCGGGUUGUAAAGCCCUUUUGUUGGGAAAGAAAAGCAGCAGGUUAAUACCCCGCUGUUCUGACGGUACCCAAAGAAUAAGCACCGGCUAACUUCGUG